RNAcentral lists this ribosomal RNA (468 nucleotides) under uncultured bacterium. RNAcentral describes it as "partial 16S ribosomal RNA". It matches the Rfam family "Bacterial small subunit ribosomal RNA", at positions 28 to 507 of the family's 1533-position model. The record is from RNAcentral.
GACGAACGCUGGCGGCGUGCUUAACACAUGCAAGUCGAACGGAAAGACCCUGCUUUUGUGGGGUGCUCGAGUGGCGAACGGGUGAGUAACACGUGAGUAACCUGCCCUUGACUUUGGGAUAACUUCAGGAAACUGGGGCUAAUACCGGAUAGGAGCUCCUGCUGCAUGGUGGGGGUUGGAAAGUUUCGGCGGUUGGGGAUGGACUCGCGGCUUAUCAGCUUGUUGGUGGGGUAGUGGCUUACCAAGGCUUUGACGGGUAGCCGGCCUGAGAGGGUGACCGGCCACAUUGGGACUGAGGUACGGCCCAGACUCCUACGGGAGGCAGCAGUGGGGAAUAUUACACAAUGGGCGGAAGCCUGAUGCAGCAACGCCGCGUGCGGGAUGACGUCCUUCGGGUUGUAAACCGCUUUCGCCUGUGACGAAGCGUGAGUGACGGUAAUGGGUAAAGAAGCACCGGCUAACUACGUG